Molecule: non-coding RNA, 1306 nt
Organism: Vigna umbellata (rice bean)
Lineage: Eukaryota; Viridiplantae; Streptophyta; Magnoliopsida; Fabales; Fabaceae
Source: RefSeq, a predicted model, not a curated record
GAGACUCGCUCACAAACUUCGAAUAUUCGGAAACAGAAGACUGAAGGAAGAGUGAGUGAAGACACUUCUUCUCCUACUCUCUCUUCUAUGCUUCCGACCUUCUCUGGUUUCUCUGAUUGACAGGACCUGCGGCUUUAUAUCCCAAUGCCGCUUUUGAGGAGAAAGCCUUUUGCCCUUGCUGAACCACCGAAUGAUUUGGAGCCAUGCGAGAGUCUUUUUCGAAUUCGAUUUACUAAAGAAGUAUUUCGAGAUUAUAAUGAUUAUUUGAACCGCUUAAAUCAAUACCGCAAGAGGGUUUGGACGUGCAAAGUAACGGGAAAAACCGGCUUGACUUAUGAACAGGCUUUGGUGUCAGAGAAGCUUGCUACUGAGAAAGUUCAACAGAUUCCGGAAGAAUUAAUGGUACCGGCACUUAGGAUUAUUCAGUACAGUAAGUUCUACUUUUGGUCCAAAUGAAAAGAAAAAGUUUAUGUUGAACGAAAUUGAACUAUGUUUCCUUUUUCUUUGUGGCUUAUUAUUGGUUAUGCUCAUUUGUUUUGCAUGGGUAAUUUGAAAAUUUUCGUUUUUUCUGCAUUUGUUGAAAUUAAAAUAUAUGGUUUAAAGAGCUGUCUUUUAAUUUGCUUUGUUUACAAGGGUUUGUUAUUGUUAAAAGUUUAUAAUAUACAGUAUUAUAAGCACCUUUGGAGGAAAUUAAGAUGAUUGUGAAGAAGCACAUGUAAUGGGAUGUGCAUAUUGAAUCCCGCAGUAGGGGCGGUGACUUUAAGAUGGGACGUUACUUUUGAAUGAUCGAACAAAAGGUAUACCGUGCUACCAUCCACAAUGUUAUUUGAGAGAGAAAGAUUGCUUUGUUGUCUUGGAGUUGUUUUCAAGGGCCUACCAAAUGGUUUUAGAUUACUGGUUCCGUUUUUCAUUACAGGAAUUUGUCCAUCAAGUUAGCAGUUCAAUGCAAGUAUUGCAUUUUACUAUUUAUUCUAUAAAUUGUCCUAAGCCUCAUGUCUAUCUCUUAUGUUGGUUAGCUUGAAGAUGAGUAAGUUUUGGCUAAUUAGCUGGUAUAAGAGAUUAAAUUAUUGCUGGUUAAAGCAAGCCAUGCCAAAUAUGAUUUAGGUUGCCUGUAUAUAUCUCGUGGGAGCCUCUUCAAUUUGUUUCGGUACACAGAAGUUUAUGGGAGGAGAACCUGCCUCAUUCCAAGGUCUGGACACAAGACUCAGGGAGAUCUUGAAAUGGUAACGAAGAGUUAUAGAUGAUCCACUAAUGAAGGAUUUAGCUAAGUAUAUAUGUCUGCAUAACAUCUUGUGACUUUGAGGCA